This 77-nucleotide transfer RNA is filed under the name Conasprella wakayamaensis. RNAcentral's name for it is "tRNA-Gln". Lineage: Eukaryota; Metazoa; Mollusca; Gastropoda; Neogastropoda; Conidae. The record is from RNAcentral.
UAUAUUAGCCUAUACAGCGGUGUUAGGGCACAGAGAAUUUUGAUUUCUCAAGAGAGGUUCACUUCCUCCUGGAUAAA